UCGAGAAUUUUUCUCAAUGGGCGCAAGCCUGAAGGAGCGACGCCGCGUGGAGGAUGAAGGUCUUCGGAUUGUAAACUCCUGUCAUUAGGGAACAAUUGGCCGCGGUUAACUGCCGCGGUCUUGAUAGUACCUGAAGAGGAAGGGACGGCUAACUCUGUGCCAGCAGCCGCGGUAAUACAGAGGUCCCAAGCGUUGUUCGGAUUCAUUGGGCGUAAAGGGUGCGUAGGUGGCGGGGUAAGUUGGAUGUGAAAUCCCGGGGCUCAACCCUGGAACUGCAUUCAAUACUGCUCUGCUAGAGUACUGGAGAGGAGAUUGGAAUUCAUGGUGUAGCAGUGAAAUGCGUAGAUAUCAUGAGGAAGACCAGUGGCGAAGGCGGAUCUCUGGACAGUUACUGACACUGAGGCACGAAGGCCAGGGGAGCAAACGG
RNAcentral lists this ribosomal RNA (427 nucleotides) under uncultured bacterium. RNAcentral describes it as "bacterial SSU rRNA". It matches the Rfam family "Bacterial small subunit ribosomal RNA", at positions 355 to 775 of the family's 1533-position model. The record is from RNAcentral.